This is a long non-coding RNA of Dama dama (fallow deer), 549 nucleotides long. RefSeq lists it as uncharacterized. The transcript is spliced from 2 exons. The record is from RefSeq and is a predicted model, not a curated record. Lineage: Eukaryota; Metazoa; Chordata; Mammalia; Artiodactyla; Cervidae.
GCCCGCCGGAGUCCAAGAAGUUUCCUCCAGGUCCCCUUAUGUCACCCGAGUUUUUGUUUAUGGGAACAUCUUGACCUGACCUAUAUGUGAAGAAGGAAUUCAUAGGGCCUGGACUCCAUCUCAGGCCUGUCUGUGCUGAUCGUGGGCGGCCACCUCUCCAGUGGACUCUGAACUCUGUGCUUAGCGCCCGUGGGAAUGACAAUGGAAGAAUAAGACCCCCCUCUGGGCAGGGGAAUCUUGAAGAAGAGAAAACAGACACUAAUCACCCCUGCCUCCGGACACUAUCUAUCAGAAUGUAAGCACAGGCUUAUCGGUUAUUAACUAUCUGGAAUGUAACUGCAGGCUUAUUGAUUAUUGACUGUUUGAACACAUAACACGUGAAUGAUGGGGUUAUUGUAGUUGUAUUUACCCUUCCUUUGUUUAUGUAAGUCUCAAGCGAAUUGGGGUAGUGGGUUUGGACACGUACACAUGGGGUAUAAAAGAUUUUCACAAAUGCUGGUCGGGGUCCUUGGCUAAGAGGAGACUCUGCCUUGGGCCCGCCGCUAUCUG